Non-coding RNA from Piloderma croceum F 1598, 94 nucleotides. The record is from the annotation of a GenBank genome assembly. Lineage: Eukaryota; Fungi; Basidiomycota; Agaricomycetes; Atheliales; Atheliaceae.
UCCCUGGUAGUAUAUCGGUUCAGUACACGCGCCUGUCACUUACUCUGGUGUUUACGUAACGCGCGAGAGCGGGGUUCGACUCCCCGCCAGGGAG